UUUCUUGAAGAUCGGAAGUUGGGUUUGUAUCAAUUGUUGGGAAAUCACGAUUAAUGCAUGUCCAUCUUCAUUUUUCUCUUUAUAUCCAGCUACCAUGAGUAGCCAAAUCCCUUUCUUUUUGGGAUUGGAUGUAAGUUUGUCGUAAUAGUGUGUAUUUUUAUUGAUCAUGGCAUUGUAUACAAUCUCUUUAUGAAUCUAUAUCGAUGUUAUCC
RNAcentral lists this long non-coding RNA (212 nucleotides) under Lathyrus oleraceus (garden pea). RNAcentral's name for it is "Pisum sativum (pea) long non-coding RNA (PSAT_LNC003010)". The record is from RNAcentral. Lineage: Eukaryota; Viridiplantae; Streptophyta; Magnoliopsida; Fabales; Fabaceae.